This 200-nucleotide ribosomal RNA is filed under the name uncultured organism. RNAcentral describes it as "partial small subunit ribosomal RNA". It matches the Rfam family "Bacterial small subunit ribosomal RNA", at positions 1183 to 1382 of the family's 1533-position model. The record is from RNAcentral.
CGUCAAGUCAUCAUGGCCCUUAUGGGCUGGGCUACACACGUGCUACAAUGGCGGUGACAAUGGGCAGCCACUCAGCGAUGAGGAGCUAAUCCCUAAAAGCCGUCUCAGUUCGGAUUGAGCUCUGCAACUCGAGCUCAUGAAGUCGGAAUCGCUAGUAAUGGCGCAUCAGCUACGGCGCCGUGAAUACGUUCCCGGGUCUU